This 262-nucleotide long non-coding RNA is filed under the name Capsicum annuum. RNAcentral describes it as "long non-coding RNA (CANN_LNC003890)". The record is from RNAcentral. Lineage: Eukaryota; Viridiplantae; Streptophyta; Magnoliopsida; Solanales; Solanaceae.
CGCCCCCCCCACGGUCCCACUCCCCAACCCCCUCGGACAUGACCCUAUCCACCCAUUACCACCCACAGCCACAACUACCCGAAAGUAUAGAAAAAUAUAAAGAUAUACCCGGUGACAGUAUCCAAGCAGCAGCAAGUAAAUACAAAGCUCACACACAUUCAAAGUAAUAUUCCCGAAACAAAACUAAGAAACGACCACAACAACAGCAACAACAGACAACAGACAAGGUACAGGGGCUACUACGAGCAAAAUACUACGGAUG